AAGCUUAGGUUAACUCAACUAAACCGGGGACCUUCAAAGUCCCAAAAAGGGGCGCAACUCUAGCUUCUG
RNAcentral lists this transfer RNA (69 nucleotides) under Rhoptropus biporosus. RNAcentral describes it as "tRNA-Trp". Lineage: Eukaryota; Metazoa; Chordata; Lepidosauria; Squamata; Gekkonidae. The record is from RNAcentral.